GAUGAAGAACGCAGCGAAAUGCGAUAAGUAGUGUGAAUUGCAGAAUUCAGUGAAUCAUCGAAUCUUUGAACGCACAUUGCGCCUGCCAGCACUCUGGCAGGCAUGCCUGUUCGAGCGUCAUUUCAACCAUCAAGCCCUAGGCUUGCGUUGGAGCCCUGCGGCUGCCGCAGGCCCCUAAAAGCAGUGGCGGGCUCGCUAUCACACCGAGUGCAGUAGAUUACUCUUCGCUCAGGGCGUGUGGCGGGUUCCAGCCGUGAAACCCCUACUUCUCAAGGUUGACCUCGGAUCAGGUAGGAAUACCCGCUGAACUUAAGCAUAUCAAUAGCGGAGGA
This 332-nucleotide unclassified non-coding RNA is filed under the name soil metagenome. Its description in RNAcentral is "partial contains 5.8S ribosomal RNA, internal transcribed spacer 2, and large subunit ribosomal RNA". The stretch from base 1 to 120 matches the Rfam family "5.8S ribosomal RNA", at positions 35 to 154 of the family's 154-position model. The record is from RNAcentral.